CUUAAUCUUGCACCUGACCAUAAUAGCUUUUAUGUCAAUGCAUGAGUUCUAUUUAACAGAGGAUGACAGAAAUUCUAUUGAUAUAAUUAGUAACUUAACAUCAAAAGCAUACAAAAGGAGUUAGUACAACACAUGCCUAUUCCGUCAAAACUUACAAUGAUCUGCGAGCUGACCACAUUGUGUCAUGAUACAUAGAUAAGACGUGUAAUUAAGCAUGCACCGUACAUUAAACUGCACAUACAUGCAAACAUACACAUUCAGCGCUGGGUAUACUACCAUUUUUGCUGGAUGAAGUAGCAGUAUUUCUGUUUAUUUCUUACGUUAUCCUAUUCCGUCCCCGCUGCAGGCACACUUUGCACACUGUUUUUUGACAUCACCAUGAUUAGAAGCAGAAUAGACAAUCAUUUGGAAACGUAAAGAUUAGACUGAAAGAAGAUUCACAUGUAAAUUAUUCGUACCUUCACUGGGAGACAUUUUUCUGUAUUGGCUGAUCAAUUUUCAAAAGAUUUCGUCUCUAACCUGAUAUAGUUAAUGAUGUUAGAAUAAUUGAAAAAAUUAUGGCAGUGUGAUGCCCAACAAAAAAUCUGUUCAUCUAUUAUGCUUCCCUCUCACCUCUGUACGUGAGAUAAAAUAAAUUGGACGUGAGAUGUGGCAGCUUGUCGCACACUCUUCUGCUUUCCUCCCACCUCUGUAACCUUCACCACCACAUAAGAAACACGGUGAGAAGAGGGACGGAGUGUAGUGAUGCAGAGAGAGAUACACACACAUAGAUGUGGUGUUGGAGUGUGCUGCCGGAGCGAGGAAGCACACACGCUAGAGGCCCGUACCUGGAGAGAUCAAGGUCGUGCAGCCCCGUCGGUUGCCAAACAGGUCGUCGAUCGCUCUCCCCGCCAUUGGCCGGACCGGCUGCCGCUCGCGCCGCCCCUCCGUUGGCCGGACUGGCCCUCGCUCACGCCGCGCUGCNNNNNNNNNNNNNNNNNNNNNNNNNNNNNNNNNC
Molecule: long non-coding RNA, 997 nt
Filed under: Hordeum vulgare
Lineage: Eukaryota; Viridiplantae; Streptophyta; Magnoliopsida; Poales; Poaceae
Description: long non-coding RNA (HVUL_LNC015077)
Source: RNAcentral